RNAcentral lists this long non-coding RNA (523 nucleotides) under Pan troglodytes (chimpanzee). RNAcentral describes it as "long non-coding RNA NONPTRT013952". The record is from RNAcentral. Lineage: Eukaryota; Metazoa; Chordata; Mammalia; Primates; Hominidae.
UGAAGCCAGCUGCUUACCUCUUCUCCUGCAGUUGCUUCAUUCAGAAUCCAGACACUCUUCGAGCUGAUGACUGCGUUCUGUCAAUGAUGACCACAAAUGCAGGGAGUGGGCUGUGGGUGCAAGAAAUAUCCUCCCCUCAUCCUGUGGAGCUUAAGACUGACCCUAGAAAAUACAACUCAAGGAUUCCCACUGUAUUUCCCAUUACUUCUAUAAAAAUGUUCAUCUGGGGGCUUUUGGAGGGUGGAGGGCGAGAGGAGAGAGAGGAUCAGGAAAAGUAACUAAUGGGUAGAAGGCUUAAUACCUGGGUGAUGAAAUAAUCUGUACAACAAACCCCUAUGACACAAGUUUACCUACAUAAGAAAUCUGCACUAAUACCCCCUGAACUUAUGAUAAAAGCUAAAAAAAAAAAAGUCCAUCUGAAGGUUUGCAGACAGCUUCCAUGUGUUAUCCCAGAGAUAAUCCACCAGGUAUUCUCAGAGAUCUGGAACCUUGAGAAAUCCUGGAUUGUCCAAGAACCUGAUAG